AGCAGCCGCGGUAAUUCCAGCUCCAAUAGCGUAUAUUAAAGUUGUUGCAGUUAAAAAGCUCGUAGUUGAAUUUCGGGAUUGACACAUCGGUCGUGCCUUAAGGGGUAUGAACUGGUGUAGUCAAUUUCUCACCUUCUGGAGAACCGCGAUGUCCUUAAUUGGGUGCCGCGAGGAACCAGGACCUUUACUUUGAAAAAAUUAGAGUGUUUAAAGCAGGCAUUUUUGCUUGAAUACAUUAGCAUGGAAUAAUAAAAUAGGACGGCAUGAUUCUAUUUUGUUGGUUUCUAGGAUCACCGUAAUGAUUAAUAGGGAUAGUUGGGGGCAUUAGUAUUCAAUUGUCAGAGGUGAAAUUCUUGGAUUUAUUGAAGACUAACUACUGCGAAAGCAUUUGCCAAGGAUGUUUUCAUUAAUCAAGAACGAAAGUUAGGGGAUCGAAGACGAUCAGAUACCGUCGUAGUCUUAACCAUAAACUAUGCCGACUAGGAAUCAGACGAUGUAAUUUUUUAAUGACUCGUUUGGC
RNAcentral lists this ribosomal RNA (520 nucleotides) under uncultured Entrophospora. RNAcentral's name for it is "SSU rRNA". It matches the Rfam family "Eukaryotic small subunit ribosomal RNA", at positions 569 to 1084 of the family's 1831-position model. Lineage: Eukaryota; Fungi; Glomeromycota; Glomeromycetes; Entrophosporales; Entrophosporaceae. The record is from RNAcentral.